This 254-nucleotide ribosomal RNA is filed under the name uncultured bacterium. RNAcentral describes it as "partial 16S ribosomal RNA". It matches the Rfam family "Bacterial small subunit ribosomal RNA", at positions 524 to 776 of the family's 1533-position model. The record is from RNAcentral.
UACGGAGGAUGCAAGCGUUAUCCGGAAUGAUUGGGCGUAAAGCGUGCGCAGGCGGUUAUUUAAGUCAGGUGUGAAAGCCCUGGGCUUAACCUAGGAAUUGCGCUUGAGACUGGAUAGCUUGGAGUGCGGCAGAGGGAGGUGGAAUUCCACGUGUAGCAGUGAAAUGCGUAGAGAUGUGGAGGAACACCGAUGGCGAAGGCAGCCUCCUGGGCCAGCACUGACGCUCAUGCACGAAAGCGUGGGGAGCAAACAGG